This is a long non-coding RNA of Hibiscus syriacus, 134 nucleotides long. RefSeq lists it as uncharacterized. The record is from RefSeq and is a predicted model, not a curated record. Lineage: Eukaryota; Viridiplantae; Streptophyta; Magnoliopsida; Malvales; Malvaceae. The transcript has 3 exons.
UAAACAUAAAUGACCAUAAAUGAAAUUCUUACUGACACGUACCAAACUACUUUUGUUGGUCAAUCAAUGCGUGUGUUUGUUCUUUUUUGGUUUAGAAGAAAUCAAUCCAUAUGCUUUCCGUCUUGACUCUGAUA